This 190-nucleotide small nuclear RNA is filed under the name Dasypus novemcinctus (nine-banded armadillo). RNAcentral describes it as "U2 spliceosomal RNA (ENSDNOG00000028632.1)". It matches the Rfam family "U2 spliceosomal RNA". From Rfam's summary of the family: U2 is a small nuclear RNA (snRNA) component of the spliceosome (involved in pre-mRNA splicing). Lineage: Eukaryota; Metazoa; Chordata; Mammalia; Cingulata; Dasypodidae. The record is from RNAcentral.
AUUAUUGAUCAGUGUUUUGGCUAAGAUCAAGUGUAGUAUCUGUUCAUAUCAAUUUAAUAUUUGAUAUAUCCUCUAUCUGAAGAAAAUAUAUUAAUGGAUUUUUGGAACAGGAAGAGGGAAUGGGAGCCUGCUCUGUCCACUCCAUGCAGUGACCUUGUAUUUCAGUACUUUCAGGAAUGCUGUAACAUCU